This 226-nucleotide ribosomal RNA is filed under the name Clostridioides difficile. Its description in RNAcentral is "partial 23S ribosomal RNA". It matches the Rfam family "Bacterial large subunit ribosomal RNA", at positions 2621 to 2849 of the family's 2925-position model. Lineage: Bacteria; Bacillati; Bacillota; Clostridia; Peptostreptococcales; Peptostreptococcaceae. The record is from RNAcentral.
GUGAGACAGUUCGGUCCCUAUCCGUCGCAGGCGUAGGAAAUUUGAGAAGACCUGGCCUUAGUACGAGAGGACCGGGAUGGACGUACCUCUGGUGUACCAGUUGUCCUGCCAAGGGCAUGGCUGGGUAGCUAUGUACGGAAUGGAUAAGCGCUGAAAGCAUCUAAGCGCGAAGCCAACUUCAAGAUAAGAUUUCCCACCGCAAGGGUAAGACCCCAGAAAGACUAUC